AGUCAAGUAAUUAAGUGCAUGUGGUGGAUGCCUUGGCAGUCAGAGGCGAUGAAAGACGUGAUAGCCUGCGAAAAGCUCCGGGGAGGCGGCAAAUAUCCUUUGAUCCGGAGAUGUCUGAAUGGGGGAACCCACCUACUUUAAGGUAGGUAUUGCAACAUGAAUACAUAGUGUUGCAAGGCGAACGAGGGGAAGUGAAACAUCUCAGUACCCUUAGGAAAAGAAAUCAAUUGAGAUUCCCUCAGUAGCGGCGAGCGAACGGGGAUCAGCCCAUUAAGUUAUGUGUGUUUUAGUGGAACGCUCUGGGAAGUGCGAACGUAGAGGGUGAUAUUCCCGUACACGAAAGGGCACACAUAAUGAUGACGAGUAGGGCGAGGCACGUGAAACCUUGUCUGAAUAUGGGGGGACCAUCCUCCAAGGCUAAAUACUCCUGACUGACCGAUAGUGAACCAGUACCGUGAGGGAAAGGCGAAAAGAACCCCUGUGAGGGGAGUGAAAUAGAUCCUGAAACCGCAUGCAUACAAGCAGUGGGAGCACCUUCGUGGUGUGACUGCGUACCUUUUGUAUAAUGGGUCAGCGACUUAUAUUCAGUAGCAGGUUAACCGUAUAGGGGAGCCGUAGAGAAAUCGAGUCUUAAUAGGGCGUUUAGUUGCUGGGUAUAGACCCGAAACCAGGCGAUCUAUCCAUGAGCAGGUUGAAGGUUGGGUAACACUAACUGGAGGACCGAACCCACUGUCGUUGAAAAGCCAGGGGAUGACUUGUGGAUAGGGGUGAAAGGCUAAUCAAGCCUGGUGAUAGCUGGUUCUCCCCGAAAGCUAUUUAGGUAGCGCCUCGGACGAAUACCAUAGGGGGUAGAGCACUGUUUCGGCUAGGGGGUCAUCCCGACUUACCAAACCGAUGCAAACUCCGAAUACCUAUGAGUACUAUCCGGGAGACAGACUGCGGGUGCUAACGUCCGUAGUCAAGAGGAAAACAAUCCAGACCGCCAGCUAAGGCCCCAAAAUCAUAGUUAAGUGGGAAACGAUGUGGGAAGGCAUAGACAGCUAGGAGGUUGGCUUAGAAGCAGCCACCCUUUAAAGAAAGCGUAAUAGCUCACUAGUCGAGUCGGCCUGCGCGGAAGAUGUAACGGGGCUAAAACUAUGUGCCGAAGCUGCGGAUUUGACAUUAGUCAAGUGGUAGGGGAGCGUUCUGUAAGCCGAUGAAGGUGUAUUGAGAAGUGCUGGAGGUAUCAGAAGUGCGAAUGCUGACGUGAGUAACGACAAAACGGGUGAAAAACCCGUUCGCCGAAAGACCAAGGGUUCCAGUCCAACGUUAAUCGGGGCUGGGUGAGUCGACCCCUAAGGCGAGGCCGAAAGGCGUAGUCGAUGGGAAAAUGGUUAAUAUUCCAUUACUUCUGUGUAAUGCGAUGAGAGGACGGAGAAGGCUAAAUCAGCCUGGCGUUGGUUGUCCAGGUGAAAGGAUGUAGGCAUGUAUCUUAGGCAAAUCCGGGGUACUCUAUGCUGAGAUCUGAUAGCAAGCUGUACUUGUACAGCGAAGUGGUUGAUGCCAUGCUUCCAGGAAAAGUCUCUAAGCUUCAGUUACACAGGAAUCGUACCCGAAACCGACACAGGUGGUCAGGUCGAGUAGACCAAGGCGCUUGAGAGAACUCUGCUGAAGGAACUAGGCAAAAUGGUACCGUAACUUCGGGAGAAGGUACGCUGUUGUUGGUGAUGGAACUCGCUUCCUGAGCUGACGACAGCCGCAGAAACCAGGCCGCUGCAACUGUUUAUUAAAAACAUAGCACUCUGCAAACACGAAAGUGGACGUAUAGGGUGUGAUGCCUGCCCGGUGCUGGAAGGUUAAUUGAUGGGGUUAGCGUAAGCGAAGCUCUUGAUCGAAGCCCCAGUAAACGGCGGCCGUAACUAUAACGGUCCUAAGGUAGCGAAAUUCCUUGUCGGGUAAGUUCCGACCUGCACGAAUGGCAUAAUGAUGGCGGCGCUGUCUCCAGCAGAGGCUCAGUGAAAUCGAAAUCGCUGUGAAGAUGCAGUGUACCCGCGGCUAGACGGAAAGACCCCGUGAACCUUUACUGCAGCUUGACACUGAACUUUGACCUUACUUGUGUAGGAUAGGUGGGAGGCUUUGAAGCUGGAACGCUAGUUCCAGUGGAGCCGUCCUUGAAAUACCACCCUGGUAAUGUUGAGGUUCUAACUCUGUCCCGUGAUCCGGGACGAGGACCGUGUCUGGUGGGUAGUUUGACUGGGGCGGUCUCCUCCUAAAGAGUAACGGAGGAGUACGAAGGUGCGCUCAGCGUGGUCGGAAAUCACGCGUAGAGUAUAAAGGCAAAAGCGCGCUUAACUGCGAGACCCACAAGUCGAGCAGGUACGAAAGUAGGUCUUAGUGAUCCGGUGGUUCUGUAUGGAAGGGCCAUCGCUCAACGGAUAAAAGGUACUCUGGGGAUAACAGGCUGAUACCGCCCAAGAGUUCAUAUCGACGGCGGUGUUUGGCACCUCGAUGUCGGCUCAUCUCAUCCUGGGGCUGAAGCAGGUCCCAAGGGUAUGGCUGUUCGCCAUUUAAAGAGGUACGCGAGCUGGGUUUAGAACGUCGUGAGACAGUUCGGUCCCUAUCUACCGUGGGCGCUGGAAAUUUGAGAGGAUCUGCUCCUAGUACGAGAGGACCAGAGUGGACGAACCUCUGGUGUACCGGUUGUGACGCCAGUCGCAUCGCCGGGUAGCUAUGUUCGGAAGGGAUAACCGCUGAAAGCAUCUAAGCGGGAAGCCUACCUCAAGAUAAGAUUUCCCUAGGACUUUAUGUCCUCUAAAGAGCCGUUCGAGACUAGGACGUUGAUAGGUUGGAUGUGGAAGCAUAGUGAUAUGUGAAGCUGACCAAUACUAAUUGCUCGUGAGGCUUGACUAU
This 2889-nucleotide ribosomal RNA is filed under the name Acinetobacter baumannii. RNAcentral's name for it is "23S ribosomal RNA". It matches the Rfam family "Bacterial large subunit ribosomal RNA". The record is from RNAcentral. Lineage: Bacteria; Pseudomonadati; Pseudomonadota; Gammaproteobacteria; Moraxellales; Moraxellaceae.